Long non-coding RNA from Rattus norvegicus (Norway rat), 2091 nucleotides. RefSeq lists it as uncharacterized. The record is from RefSeq and is a predicted model, not a curated record. Lineage: Eukaryota; Metazoa; Chordata; Mammalia; Rodentia; Muridae.
UAGUGCACCCAUGUUGGGAUUUGUUCUGCUGCUCAGACACAUGACAUUUAUAAGAGAAAGAAGUCAAGCUGGCUCAGAUUGAACACUUCAUUUCAUGGAGCAGAGAAGGAAAUAUGCACAUAACCCUGAGGAGGGAAAAGAAUAUGUAGUCAUAAAGAAUGAAUGUCUGCCAGCCAUCUAAAAUGAGAAGUCAGUGGCAGUGUGUGCUGGGCCCACCUUGUUUCAGAUGUGUGCUGGGGCUUGUGGGAAUCAAGAACAGCCUGCCAUCUUGGUUGUCUAAAAUGUGAAUUCAUCGGAGAGGAAUUUAAUAAAUCCUGAGCAGUCUAGGACAAUAGUUUUUGAGAAGUGGGAAAAAACCUCCAAGGAUGACAGAUUUAGCUUCACAUAUCUUGUCAGAACAUUAGCAUAAGAGUGAGUUGCCUCACAUGAACUUAAAAUACAGGAGAAAAUUACUCUCAGAGAGUUACAGCUGAGCCUACACUCAGUGGAUAUGCUUCUUUGGUCCGCCACCUGUGAAAGAAACCCAAAUUAGAACUGGAAGUCAGAAAAGGGCCAAGGUGCAAACGUUAUACAAACACCAAGGGUGCAUCAUAUGCCAGGAGACUCAGUAGCUUGCACACAUAAUGUUAUUAAAACUUCACAGCAACCCUGUAUAGCCAGGUUGAUUUUUUAUGUUUUAUAUAAGUUAUCUGAAUUCAGUAGAGCUUAAAUUGUUUGGCUAAACACUCAUACCAGGUAUGGGGAAAGAGCAGCAGGAGUGAUUCAGGUCUCUGGACUCAAAGCUCUGUGCAAAGAAAUGGAGCUAGGAUGCCCCUGUGAUUUCACAGAAAAUAACCUAGCAAGACAGAGACCAAUAAUGAUGGCAGGGCAUUCAGUCCUUUACUACAUCAUAUAUACUCAAAAAACAAAACUUGCAGUUUAUAUAAUUUUUCAAAGGGCAGAGAUUGGGAUUCUAAGGUGGAAUGGGUUGAAUACUGGCUGCCAAAAGUAUGUCUCGUCCAGUACCAUGGCACAUGAUGGGUUUAUGGGAUAAAGAUCUUUGCAAGUGUGUGUGUGUGUGUGUGUGUGUGUGUGUGUGUGUGUGUGUGUGUAGUAUAGAUGUUGAGCACACAGCAUCAUGAAUACUCAUGAGAGUUGAGCUGAUCUAAUGGGGGUAUCCUUACAAGAGUGAAAAAAAUGGCAGAGGAAAGGUCACAAACGAGAAGGUCCUGUGAGAUGGAGGAGAACCAGAAUGUAGUCAUGAUGUCAUAGAAACACAGAACACUGGAUGCCAACACAAGCCACGAGAGGUUUUUCUUGGAAGUCCCCAAAGUAGGCUUGACUCUAGAGGUAGUUCUUUCAGACUCGUCACCUCCAGAACCAGGGGACAGAGGAACUUCUGUUAUUGUAAAGUAGCGUGUCUGUCAUUGUUAUGGAAGCCUUGUUUCUGAGGAUGGUUUAGAUCAUGGAGACAACUGACCAUCAGAGAUAAAAAAUGUUGAGACCGUCUUAUGUAGCUGAUUAAAGGAUAAGGGCCUGUGAAAGUGAAGGCUUGGCCUCGCUCGUCUAGAAAACAAAACACCUUACCUACUGCCUAGAAGAGAAAGUAGUCAUCAUUGCUGUUCAUAAUUUUCAGAAGCUCCCUAAUUCAGCUUAGUAUAAUAGGAUCGUGCUGUAAUUGAAAACACUUAACAGCAUCACAAGACGAAGUUAACUUUAAGGCUUUAAGCUUCGAAUAUGACUACAAUGUCUAAGAAAACAAGCUUCAGGGAAUGGUUUCAGCUGUAUUUAAAGUAUAUUUAUGACAAGAAGACAGUGUUCAAAAUGUUUUGCUUAUUGAAAAAAGCAAUAUGCAGAAAUACAGAUAAUUAUAUAGACAGUGUGAUGCAAAUUCUGGAAAAGCAUUUUGAUUUGAUAUUUAAUAAUCUUAAGGUAAAUAAAUGGAGGAGCCUAUGUGCUUAUCAAUGUGGUAUGGCCACAUGUAGCCUACUGUGCAUCAGACUUCAAAGAGAUGUAUGCAUUUUCAUAUACUUGUACAUUAACCCAAGGAUAUUUAUUAAUUGCUAUCAUUGUUCACUGGGCAAUGCAAUUAAAAAUAUUUGUUUAUAAACA